Paramuricea clavata is the source of this 627-nucleotide non-coding RNA. The record is from the annotation of a GenBank genome assembly. Lineage: Eukaryota; Metazoa; Cnidaria; Anthozoa; Malacalcyonacea; Plexauridae.
AAUCGAUGUGGACUGGUAGAUACUGCUCGACUUUUUCCCCAUAAACCGGACUGAUAUACGCUGGAUUUCUAGGAUCAUAAUAUGUGAAUCUUUGAGGGGGUUGUCUUGUUUGCACCACGCGAUUACCAUCAGUUUCGACUUCUGGGUGAAGUAUUAUGUUCUCAGGAUUCCUAUCACCAUGCAUAUUCUCUUCAGAGACAUUUGCUUGAGUGUCAUUUGAGGCCUACUCUGGGACCUUAACUCGCCUUAAAUCGCCCUAACUCGCCUUAUCUCGCCCUAUCUCGCAAUAGAAAUUGAUCGAAUUUUGCUUAACUCGCCCAAUCUCGCCUGAUCUCGCAAUGAGAAGUUGACAUAGUUUUGCUUAACUCGCCUAAACUCGCCCUAUUUUGCAAUAAAAACUGCCACAGUAAAACACAAAUACUGUCAAUCAAAAUUUUUUUUUUUUUUUUUUAUAUAAACUUUAUUAAAAUGUUUGCCUCAAAAGCCAUAGGCUUAUCAAGGAGGCUCACACAAUCAAAAUUCUUUAGACUCACAAUACUCACUUAUAUAUUCUAUGAGUUUGGCAUUGCAACUGACAUCAACAUACAAGUAUGUAAGCCUGAUUAUCUGAAAUGUUAUCAUAUUUUU